This 504-nucleotide ribosomal RNA is filed under the name uncultured bacterium. RNAcentral describes it as "partial 16S ribosomal RNA". It matches the Rfam family "Bacterial small subunit ribosomal RNA", at positions 28 to 506 of the family's 1533-position model. The record is from RNAcentral.
GACGAACGCUGGCGGCGUGCCUAAUACAUGCAAGUAGAACGCACAGUUUAUACCGUAGCUUGCUACACCAUAGACUGUGAGUUGCGAACGGGUGAGUAACGCGUAGGUAACCUGCCUGGUAGCGGGGGAUAACUAUUGGAAACGAUAGCUAAUACCGCAUAAUAUUAAUUAUUGCAUGAUAAUUAAUUGAAAGGUGCAAUUGCACCACUACCAGAUGGACCUGCGUUGUAUUAGCUAGUAGGUGAGGUAACGGCUCACCUAGGCGACGAUACAUAGCCGACCUGAGAGGGUGAUCGGCCACACUGGGACUGAGACACGGCCCAGACUCCUACGGGAGGCAGCAGUAGGGAAUCUUCGGCAAUGGACGAAAGUCUGACCGAGCAACGCCGCGUGAGUGAAGAAGGUUUUCGGAUCGUAAAGCUCUGUUGUAAGAGAAGAACGGGUGUGAGAGUGGAAAGUUCACACUGGGACGGUAUCUUACCAGAAAAGGACGGCUAACUACGU